AUGGGCCUCCUUUUACCGCCAUGCCGAAAAACAGUGAAGGAGGACUGCAUGACAGCAUUUAAGGAAGAGAAGAGAAUUCUGCAAAGGAUGUUCCAAAACUCCAAAUCCAAGAUUUCUUUGACUACGGACCUAUGGACAUCAAAUCAGACAGUGGGGUACAUUUUCAUCACAGCCCAGAAGAGGAUAGUGAAAUUCGCAGCUAUGGAGACGCCGCACACAGGAGCUGCAAUGUUCAACAUCAUGGUGAAUUUCAUAAGAGAGUGGAGUAUUGAAGAUAAUCUCUUUGCUGUGACGCUAGACAAUGCAUCGAACAAUGGUGCAAUGAUGAAGCUAUUGAAGGAACAUCUCCUGCUUAAGAAGAUGUUACCUGGUAGUGGCAAGUUGUUUCACCAACGUUGUGCCGCCCAUGUCAUAAAUCUGAUAUGUCAAGCAGGAUUGAACUUCCUUGGUCCGGUGAACAACAUGAUGCGUGAAAGUCUUAAAUAUAUUCGAAGCUCACCAAGUCGAAAGGAAAAAUUUCAAGAAAUCGUUGUGCAGCAUGGUGUAUCAUGUGGGAGAACUCCAAGUCUUGAUGUUCCAACUCGCUGGAACUCAACCUACAUGAUGAUUGAUAUAGCAAAGGAGUAUCGCGGAGUGUUUGACUCUUUGGCCAUUCAAGAUAAACAAUAUACCUUCAAGCCAUCUUUUGAGGAUGGGGAAAAUGCCGAAGAUGUUUGCAGGCUACUGAAGGAAUACCUCCAAUUGAAUGGCAAUGGCUCAAAUCCCAUGUCACAAGGAGGUGAUGAUGACAUGGCUGUACCCAUCCGUCAAAGUGAUCAAUUCAAUAUCCUUGCAUGGUGGCAGACCAACUCAGGUGAAUACCCAACGCUGAGUCGCAUGGCAGCAGAUAUCUUGGCGGCUCCUGCCUCUGCGGUGGCAUCCGAGUCCGCCUUCAGCACAGGGAAGAGAGUCCUAUCAAAUUUUCGAAGUCGAAUGACCGCAACGACACUUGAAGCUCUUGUUUGCUUACAAGAUUGGAUACGGGCCACCGCUAAUACUCAACGUAGCUUGGCUUCAGUUCAUGACAUUAUAAUGGACUUACAAGUUUGUUCCAGGGAACUAUUUGCAAGAUGCAGCCCAAUCGUGUAG
RNAcentral lists this ribosomal RNA (1128 nucleotides) under Triticum aestivum (bread wheat). RNAcentral's name for it is "partial small subunit ribosomal RNA". The record is from RNAcentral. Lineage: Eukaryota; Viridiplantae; Streptophyta; Magnoliopsida; Poales; Poaceae.